GAUGAACGCUGGCGGUAUGCUUAACACAUGCAAGUCGAACGGACUCUUCGGAGUUAGUGGCGGACGGGUGAGUAACGCGUGAGAAUCUGGCUUUGGGUUCGGGACAACCACUGGAAACGGUGGCUAAUACCGGAUGUGCCGAGAGGUAAAAGAGAAAUUGCCUGAAGAUGAGCUCGCGUCUGAUUAGUUAGUUGGUGAGGUAAAGGCUCACCAAGGCAGCGAUCAGUAGCUGGUCUGAGAGGAUGACCAGCCACACUGGGACUGAGACACGGCCCAGACUCCUACGGGAGGCAGCAGUGGGGAAUUUUCCGCAAUGGGCGAAAGCCUGACGGAGCAAUACCGCGUGAGGGAAGAAGGCUCUUGGGUUGUAAACCUCUUUCCUUAGGGAAGAACAAAAUGACGGUACCUAAGGAAUCAGCAUCGGCUAACUCCGUG
RNAcentral lists this ribosomal RNA (435 nucleotides) under uncultured bacterium. RNAcentral's name for it is "partial 16S ribosomal RNA". It matches the Rfam family "Bacterial small subunit ribosomal RNA", at positions 28 to 507 of the family's 1533-position model. The record is from RNAcentral.